UGCAUUGGCCGCAGCAAAGCCCUGUC
This 26-nucleotide non-coding RNA is filed under the name Mus musculus (house mouse). Lineage: Eukaryota; Metazoa; Chordata; Mammalia; Rodentia; Muridae. The record is from RNAcentral.